This 2821-nucleotide ribosomal RNA is filed under the name Salmonella enterica subsp. enterica serovar Newport. RNAcentral describes it as "partial 23S ribosomal RNA". It matches the Rfam family "Bacterial large subunit ribosomal RNA". The record is from RNAcentral. Lineage: Bacteria; Pseudomonadati; Pseudomonadota; Gammaproteobacteria; Enterobacterales; Enterobacteriaceae.
AAUCCAUAGGUUAAUGAGGCGAACCGGGGGAACUGAAACAUCUAAGUACCCCGAGGAAAAGAAAUCAACCGAGAUUCCCCCAGUAGCGGCGAGCGAACGGGGAGGAGCCCAGAGCCUGAAUCAGCAUGUGUGUUAGUGGAAGCGUCUGGAAAGGCGCGCGAUACAGGGUGACAGCCCCGUACACAAAAGCGCAUGUGCUGUGAGCUCGAUGAGUAGGGCGGGACACGUGGUAUCCUGUCUGAAUAUGGGGGGACCAUCCUCCAAGGCUAAAUACUCCUGACUGACCGAUAGUGAACCAGUACCGUGAGGGAAAGGCGAAAAGAACCCCGGCGAGGGGAGUGAAAAAGAACCUGAAACCGUGUACGUACAAGCAGUGGGAGCACAGGUUUACCUGUGUGACUGCGUACCUUUUGUAUAAUGGGUCAGCGACUUAUAUUCUGUAGCAAGGUUAACCGAAUAGGGGAGCCGGAGGGAAACCGAGUCUUAAUUGGGCGUUAAGUUGCAGGGUAUAGACCCGAAACCCGGUGAUCUAGCCAUGGGCAGGUUGAAGGUUGGGUAACACUAACUGGAGGACCGAACCGACUAAUGUUGAAAAAUUAGCGGAUGACCUGUGGCUGGGGGUGAAAGGCCAAUCAAACCGGGAGAUAGCUGGUUCUCCCCGAAAGCUAUUUAGGUAGCGCCUCGUGAAUUCAUCUCCGGGGGUAGAGCACUGUUUCGGCUAGGGGGCCAUCCCGGCUUACCAACCCGAUGCAAACUGCGAAUACCGGAGAAUGUUAUCACGGGAGACACACGGCGGGUGCUAACGUCCGUCGUGAAGAGGGAAACAACCCAGACCGCCAGCUAAGGUCCCAAAGUCAUGGUUAAGUGGGAAACGAUGUGGGAAGGCCCAGACAGCCAGGAUGUUGGCUUAGAAGCAGCCAUCAUUUAAAGAAAGCGUAAUAGCUCACUGGUCGAGUCGGCCUGCGCGGAAGAUGUAACGGGGCUAAACCAUGCACCGAAGCUGCGGCAGCGAACGUAUCACUUAAAGCGAUUCAGCGGGUUACGAUUGACGGAGCGAAGCGACGUCAAAGCGUAUACAAAGUCGAGUCGGUUUAAGGAUACGUUCGUUGGGUAGGGGAGCGUUCUGUAAGCCUGUGAAGGUGGCCUGUGAGGGUUGCUGGAGGUAUCAGAAGUGCGAAUGCUGACAUAAGUAACGAUAAAGCGGGUGAAAAGCCCGCUCGCCGGAAGACCAAGGGUUCCUGUCCAACGUUAAUCGGGGCAGGGUGAGUCGACCCCUAAGGCGAGGCCGAAAGGCGUAGUCGAUGGGAAACAGGUUAAUAUUCCUGUACUUGGUGUUACUGCGAAGGGGGGACGGAGAAGGCUAUGUUGGCCGGGCGACGGUUGUCCCGGUUUAAGCGUGUAGGUGUGUGUUCCAGGUAAAUCCGGUUCACUUUAACACUGAGGCGUGAUGACGAGGCACUACGGUGCUGAAGCAACAAAUGCCCUGCUUCCAGGAAAAGCCUCUAAGCAUCAGGUAACAUCAAAUCGUACCCCAAACCGACACAGGUGGUCAGGUAGAGAAUACCAAGGCGCUUGAGAGAACUCGGGUGAAGGAACUAGGCAAAAUGGUGCCGUAACUUCGGGAGAAGGCACGCUGACACGUAGGUGAAGUGAUUUACUCAUGGAGCUGAAGUCAGUCGAAGAUACCAGCUGGCUGCAACUGUUUAUUAAAAACACAGCACUGUGCAAACACGAAAGUGGACGUAUACGGUGUGACGCCUGCCCGGUGCCGGAAGGUUAAUUGAUGGGGUCAGCGCAAGCGAAGCUCCUGAUCGAAGCCCCGGUAAACGGCGGCCGUAACUAUAACGGUCCUAAGGUAGCGAAAUUCCUUGUCGGGUAAGUUCCGACCUGCACGAAUGGCGUAAUGAUGGCCAGGCUGUCUCCACCCGAGACUCAGUGAAAUUGAACUCGCUGUGAAGAUGCAGUGUACCCGCGGCAAGACGGAAAGACCCCGUGAACCUUUACUAUAGCUUGACACUGAACAUUGAGCCUUGAUGUGUAGGAUAGGUGGGAGGCUUUGAAGUGUGGACGCCAGUCUGCAUGGAGCCGACCUUGAAAUACCACCCUUUAAUGUUUGAUGUUCUAACGUGGACCCGUAAUCCGGGUUGCGGACAGUGUCUGGUGGGUAGUUUGACUGGGGCGGUCUCCUCCUAAAGAGUAACGGAGGAGCACGAAGGUUGGCUAAUCCUGGUCGGACAUCAGGAGGUUAGUGCAAUGGCAUAAGCCAGCUUGACUGCGAGCGUGACGGCGCGAGCAGGUGCGAAAGCAGGUCAUAGUGAUCCGGUGGUUCUGAAUGGAAGGGCCAUCGCUCAACGGAUAAAAGGUACUCCGGGGAUAACAGGCUGAUACCGCCCAAGAGUUCAUAUCGACGGCGGUGUUUGGCACCUCGAUGUCGGCUCAUCACAUCCUGGGGCUGAAGUAGGUCCCAAGGGUAUGGCUGUUCGCCAUUUAAAGUGGUACGCGAGCUGGGUUUAGAACGUCGUGAGACAGUUCGGUCCCUAUCUGCCGUGGGCGCUGGAGAACUGAGGGGGGCUGCUCCUAGUACGAGAGGACCGGAGUGGACGCAUCACUGGUGUUCGGGUUGUCAUGCCAAUGGCACUGCCCGGUAGCUAAAUGCGGAAGAGAUAAGUGCUGAAAGCAUCUAAGCACGAAACUUGCCCCGAGAUGAGUUCUCCCUGAGACUUAGAGUCUCCUGAAGGAACGUUGAAGACGACGACGUUGAUAGGCCGGGUGUGUAAGCGCAGCGAUGCGUUGAGCUAACCGGUACUAAUGAACCGUGAGG